This 16-nucleotide unclassified non-coding RNA is filed under the name synthetic RNA. RNAcentral's name for it is "R1 REPEAT RNA SUBSTRATE MIMIC from synthetic RNA (PDB 4C8Y, chain C)". The record is from RNAcentral.
AGCCCCGUAAGGGGAU